CGGCCAGUAUUAAAGUAGGUUUGCUGGGCUAAUCAAUAGGCAGACCGAAAUCCGAGCCUUAUCAUCAUUGGAAGGAGUUAUCGACCCUCCCGCAGUAGCGGGUAAAUAGGUAUCUUGACGCGAUCAGCCGGACGCUUCUUGCAUGGCCCGUGACGGCGACAACAGGCUAAACUACCGUGCGCCACACGGCAGAUGGCCGAGUACCGGGUUUCAUGGCUGGUAUCGCAAAGAAGUACACAACAGCGCCCCUACAAUAACACUUUGCGAGGUACAUUCCGAGAUGACAUCACAA
This 292-nucleotide non-coding RNA is filed under the name unclassified sequences. The record is from Rfam.